GCUGGAAGAAAUGCAAAGAUCAACACUUGUGAGGUGGCAUUUGUCAAAUUCUCUUCUUGGCUGGCAGAGAGCCAGCAGGGUGGCUAGUCCCCUUUCAGAGGCUGAACUGCAGGCAACCUCCAUAUGCACAAGGUGACAGACUCUGGGCAGCAUGACCUCAGAGCCAGGUUUCUAUUGGGCUACUGCCAAUGCCACAGUCAGCCGGGGCUGUUUCUCUACUGUAUUUCCUCCAAAUAGAGAAGACAUCUGAUGUCCCUGGGAUCACAAGGAGGCCCCUCCCUCCCUCACUCUCCUCACCCAGCACCCACCAGGCAUCUGCAUGCUGCUCCCUGGGGAGGGCUUUCCUGCAAGGCUGACAUAAAAGCUCAGCUCUAACCUGGCCUUGACUCACCAGGACUCCUCAGCUCAGCUUCUCAAAAUGAGGCUCCCUGCUCAGCUCCUGGGGCUGCUGCUGCUCUGGAUCCCUGGAUCCAGUGGGGAUAUUGUGGUUACCCAAAGUCCUCUCUCAGAGCCCGUCACCUCUGGACAGCCACUCUCAAUCUCCUGCAGGUCCAGUCAGAGCCUCCUACACAGUAAUGGAAUCACGUAUUUGAACUGGGUUGUACAGAAGCCAGGCCAGUCUCCCCAGGGCCUAAUAUAUCAGGUUUCCAACCGGUACACUGGGGUCUCAGACAGGUUCAGUGGCAGUGGGUCAGGGACAGAUUUCACACUGAGAAUCAACAGGGUGGAGCCUGAUGAUGCUGGAGUGUAUUACUGUGUGCAAAGUCUACAUGUUCCUCCCACAGUGGUGCAGCCCCGAACAAAAACCUCCGUGCCUGGGUGGCCCAGCUGCCACAUGAGCUGCUUGUCUGGGCAGCAGCUCAGCAGAUUCUCUGCCCUGUGAGAGGAAGGUGCUGGGAACUGAGGAAACAGGUUCAGCUGAGGGCUGUGGACCAUGACUUCCUGGCCCACAGCUCAGGCCACAUCCAUGAAUGGUCGUGUCAGCUGCAGCAGCCUGGCCUGGCAUGUGGAGGUCAACACAGAGGUGUCCAGGGACCUUCUGAAUGAAACUUCUUUUCAUUUUCUUCCAGGAAUAUCUUAUAGUACUGAGCUUAGAUGGACUCAGAUGGACUGCAAGAUGCUGGAUCCAGAGGGAUAUAUUAAUGAGACAGACUCCACUCUCCCUGCCUGUCAACCCUUGACCACCUGCUUCCAUCUAGGGAAGGAUAAGAGUUGAGAAAGUCACUCAUAAAUCACCCAAAGGGUAGAAGGUUUUGCCUGGGGCUCUGCUAGUGCAGGUGAAGUGACAUCAUGCAGGCUCUGCAUCUCUACUGCCUCCAUGAAUCCUAAAGGUCGUGACUAGAUGACCCUCAGGUCAUCUCAAUGUUCCCAGUGAGCCCACUGUGGCACAGGUAAGGUUCCAAAAUAGGUUCUGUCCUCCUCAGAUGCCUGGGCAUGACUUGAGGGAGAUGGUCACUCUGCAGAGCCCUUAUGGUCAGGAUGAAGGUGAUGUUGAUCCAAAGGCAGAGCUGGACUGGGAAGGUCAGCAGGAGAUGCAGUGGGAGCCCAGGUGCAAACUUCAGGCCCCAGAAACCACAAGGAGGCAGCGUCCUCAAGAGAAUUCCAGGGGAAUGGAGGGGGUGUCCUCUGCUUAAAUACCCAGGCCCUUUUCUUCCCAGACAAGUGAAUGUGGUUGAAAUCCAAUGCAUUAUAAUCAUUCAAUUCACUAGUAUGUGGAAAUAUUUAUAUGGAGAAUAGAAAAGACUCAAUUGUUUGAAUUAAAGUAUAUUUCUGACAAAGAAAUUUAAAAUAUUAGAGUCACAGAGAAAGGAAAGACUAUGGAGCAGAAGAAAAUAUUCCAUUUAGUUUGUUUGUUUGCUUUUUCCUAAAAGGCCAUUAGGAAUCAGUAUUCUAAGAAAGAAAUGCCAGAGCCUUGUGCAAUGGAGAGAAGGAAUCCCUAUGGGAAACAGGUGAAGUGACAUCAUGCAGAUGGGAUGUCAUGAAGUUACAUCAUGCAGGUGGGAAGCCAUUCUCACACGUGAUUUGAGUUACCUCCCUGGAUGGGUGAGAGGUGCUCAGACAACUGUGUCAGAGCCUUCUCCACCCUGUCCCAGGUGCGAGGGCUUGUCUGUGUGGAGGUGUGCCUGGCCACUGACCCAAAGAUCAAUCACUGACCCUGACCUUGGAAUGCUGCCCCCCCUCGACCUUCAUUGGAUGGGAUUUUCCCUUGGAUUUUUUUGUUCCCCAAUAAAAGCUCACUCCUGGCAUGUCCUCUCUCUCUCUCUCUCUCUCUCGCUAGCCUCUUGUGUUAACCUUGCCAAUGCAUCAGGUGGCUGGAGGCAGGAGUAAGGAGAAGCCAUGUCCGGAGCUGAGCAUUAAAGUUAGAAUAUCCUUAUUUCUGGUAAGAGUGUAAGCUGACUGUGAGAAUGAAGACCAAACCCCACACCAUGCCCAGACCAGCUGAGGACACCAGCUUGGACAUCAUGCAGAAGACAACAGUGACAUUUCAUGACAGCAGAAGGUCAUGGUUCCAGGAAUCUCUUACAGUACUGACCCUAGAUGGACCCAGCUGGACUUCAAGUUGCUGGUAGAAGAGAGCAGAGCAUACCAGCCAGCAGGAUCAGAGGCCUGGUCCAAGCAACCCCUCUUACCCAGUGGGUCAUGUUUUGCUGUCAGGAAAACAGUGUGAGGCACUGAAAUCCCAAGGAGCCCUGUGAAGAGACUGAGCAGCAUCAGAACCGGAACCAGAUCCAGCAGGAAUUAUGGACCCUCACACAGAGGAGUCAAGACUCUGUGCAAAGCUCUAUGAAUGGGAAAAACUCUUCACUGGACAUUGCCCUUCACCAUGGCCUGUCUCUGAGCUUCACCAUAAAGAUCCUGGAAACAACUGUCCUUGGUCACCAUGCUCAAAAUUUGCAUUCAGUUCUGUUUCAGGCUUCCCCAUUCAAGGUGCUACCCCACGGUGUCACUGAAACUUCUGCCCAAUAUCACCUGAGACAUCCACACUGCCCAGUCCAGUGUCCGCACCAAUCCUCAUCCUACUAGACCCACCACUGUCACUUAGCACCUCAGAGCACCCUCCUCCUCCAGGCACUUUCUUCCUGAGCCUCAGGACAUCACUCUCUCCUGCUGCUCCCCCUCCCACUGCCCCUUCCCAAUCACCUUCCUGGUCCUCCCUCUCCACCUGUCCCAGAACUCAGGCCCUGGGCCUCUGCUCUGUGCAGCCCUCCCUGCAGUGGUCAUAAGAGCUCAGUCCCCAGGGCAGACCUCACCCCUGAACCCCAGCCUCUAACACUCUGUUGGCUACUUGGCAACACACUAAUGCACAUGGCCAGCCCCAACAUCUAGAGCCACAUAUCCAUCUUGCUCCCAAUGUCACUGUCCCCACUGUCUCCUCUGUCAGGACAAAUAGCAACUCCACCCUGCUAGCUUCUCAAAGUAAGAUCUCAGAGUCAUCUUGAGACUCCUUCUCUCACAUCCCUUGACCUACCACAGCAGGUUGUUCACCUCCAUCUCCAAUAUACACCCCUCACUGCUCCCUCCAGGUGCAAACCACAGGCCACAGAAAACACAAGCAGGCAACAUCCUGGGGAGAGUCCCAAGUGAAUGAGGGAGGUUUCUUCUUCUUUCUGACCCUCCCCCCGCCUGCCCACAGAAUAUGUCCAGGGAGAACCCCAGCCUGGCGUCCAGCACUCAGCUUCAGUCUGGUCUGUUAAGGGGUCUCCAUGCUCAGCCCAGGCUCAGCCUGAUUCUCUUCUCUAUGCUCCUCCAUUGAUGUUCACCUGAAACCCAACUUUGAAAUACUUUUUUAAGAAGUGUGAGGUAUCAAUGCCUACAAGAUUAUAAAUGGGUGUAUAAUUAAUGAGUUAUCAUUAGACACAACAAUUAUCAAGUAAUAAUAUAAAAAAUUAAAAAACGGGGAAAUAGAACUGAAAUCUCCAAACAAUAUCCACUUCCAAAUGCCAUCAGCGAUCCAUCAGUACUUGUUAGUGAUAAACAAAGGUAGUAUUGGACAAAAUAUUGCAUUGAUGGCCCAAAAACCCUGUCCCUGGUAUCAACACAUUGCAGGUAUUCAAGUAGUAAUUCAGUAUCUUCCGUGAAGGAUUUUGCAGCUGUAAUGAAAUAGGGGCCUUUUAGAGAGGGAGAGAGUACCAGAAUGCACCCCCUAUUGUGGAAGCCCUUGAAAUCUGGGUAGAGUCAGAGGGAGGCAAAUCUCAUGCCAGGGAAGAUUGGAUAUGGGGAGAUUCUCUAAUGCUAGUCUUGAAGAUGCAGGAGCCAGACUGUAAGUAAUUAGGGCAGCUUCCAGGAGCUCUGUGCUGAUGGCCACAGGAUAUUGGGACCUCACACUACAACUGUGAAAGGAUGACUCAGCCACAGGCACUGGACCUGGAAGAAUACCCUGAACUUCAGCAAGGAGAGCUGCCGACUUACUGCCCCAUUUCAGUCUUCUCAGGCUGAGCUGAGGACCCAGCCUGGACUCCUGAGGGACAUGCCUGGGAAGGAACACACUGCUCAAUAUGUGGGAAUUUGUAGUUCAGCCACAGAAAACUAGGAGAGAUGUCAAUGAACCAGGUAUUACAAGGAAAAUCAGAAAUCUAAAUACCAGCAGCAGUUUUCCCAUGUGGCUCAUGCUUAAUCUGCACUGUGGAUGGUUCUAUGAACUUUAGCUGUACUAUUUAUAAAAGCUGCUGUGCAGUUACUUCUGUGUACAUGUGAUGUGCAUAUUUCUAUGAGUAGAUAU
Marmota monax (woodchuck) is the source of this 4720-nucleotide long non-coding RNA. RefSeq lists it as uncharacterized. NCBI's taxonomy places the organism in Eukaryota, Metazoa, Chordata, Mammalia, Rodentia, Sciuridae. The transcript has 5 exons. The record is from RefSeq and is a predicted model, not a curated record.